This 460-nucleotide ribosomal RNA is filed under the name uncultured bacterium. RNAcentral's name for it is "partial 16S ribosomal RNA". It matches the Rfam family "Bacterial small subunit ribosomal RNA", at positions 338 to 795 of the family's 1533-position model. The record is from RNAcentral.
CCUACGGGAGGCAGCAGUGAGGAAUAUUGGUCAAUGGACGAGAGUCUGAACCAGCCAAGUCGCGUGAAGGAUGACUGCUCUAUGGGUUGUAAACUUCUUUUAUAAAGGAAUAAAAUGCGGCACGUGUGCCUCUUCGCAUGUACCUUAUGAAUAAGGAUCGGCUAACUCCGUGCCAGCAGCCGCGGUAAUACGGAGGAUCCGAGCGUUAUCCGGAUUUAUUGGGUUUAAAGGGUGCGUAGGCGGGCUUUUAAGUCAGCUGUGAAAGUCUGCGGCUCAACCGUAAAAUUGCAAUUGAUACUGGGAGUCUGGAGUAUAGUUGAGGUAGGCGGAAUGCGUGGUGUAGCGGUGAAAUGCUUAGAUAUCACGAAGAACCCCGAUUGCGAAGGCAGCCUACUAAGCUAUGACUGACAUUGAUGCUCGAAAGUGUGGGGAUCGAACAGGAUUAGAUACCCGUGUAGUC